UAUACGGAGGCUUUCGAGGGGGCCCCUUUGAAUGACCGUAAUGAAGAUUCUCCUGCGUGCCGUUAUAUUCCACAUCUUCAUUGGCAGCCUUUAUGGCUACACCCAGAAACUGACUGCUGGCAGAGGAACUUUGGGAGAACUUAUCAAAGCACUCAACACCACAGAACCAAUCUGGUUGAUUAAACGCACCUACGAAAUCAAGGGUCAUACAUGCGUCUAUUCGCAAAGGCUAGCAUUUUACGUGAAAAAUAAUACUUAUGACUUUAUGCAAUAUUACAUGGAAAAUGGCACGCUGAAGCACCAACGUUUACGGGCAAUUCUUUCUAUGGAAAAUGACAAUACUCAAGGUGCUGCGAUGACAGUUAGCGAUCCGGCAG
Molecule: long non-coding RNA, 377 nt
Organism: Dermacentor andersoni
Lineage: Eukaryota; Metazoa; Arthropoda; Arachnida; Ixodida; Ixodidae
Source: RefSeq, a predicted model, not a curated record